UACGAAGGGGGCUAGCGUUGUUCGGAAUUACUGGGCGUAAAGGGCGCGUAGGCGGUUUGCCAAGUCAGGCGUGAAAGCCCUGGGCUUAACCCAGGAACUGCGUUUGAUACUUGCAGACUAGAGUGUGGGAGAGGAUGGUGGAAUUCCCAGUGUAGAGGUGAAAUUCGUAGAUAUUGGGAAGAACACCAGUGGCGAAGGCGGCCAUCUGGACCAUCACUGACGCUGAGGCGCGAAAGCGUGGGGAGCAAACAGG
RNAcentral lists this ribosomal RNA (253 nucleotides) under uncultured bacterium. RNAcentral's name for it is "partial 16S ribosomal RNA". It matches the Rfam family "Bacterial small subunit ribosomal RNA", at positions 524 to 776 of the family's 1533-position model. The record is from RNAcentral.